CCUACGGGGGGCUGCAGUGAGGAAUAUUGGUCAAUGGUCGGGAGACUGAACCAGCCAAGCCGCGUGAGGGAUGAAGGUACAGAGUAUCGUAAACCUCUUUUGUCAGGGAACAAAGGCGGGGACGCGUCCCCGGCUGCGUGUACCUUAAGAAAAAGCAUCGGCUAACUCCGUGCCAGCAGCCGCGGUAAACCGGAGGAUGCGAGCGUUAUCCGGAUUUAUUGGGUUUAAAGGGUGGGCAGGCGGUCUGUUAAGUCCGCGGUAAAAGCCCGGGGCUCAACCCCGGCCCGCCGUUGAAACUGGCAGUCUCGAGUUGGAGAGAAGUAUGCGGAAUGCGCGGUGUAGCGGUGAAAUGCAUAGAUAUCGCGCAGAACUCCGAUUGCGAAGGCAGCAUGCCGGCUCCAAACUGACGCUGAGGCACGAAAGCGUGGGUAUCGAACAGGAUUAGAUACCCUAGUAGUC
This 459-nucleotide ribosomal RNA is filed under the name uncultured bacterium. RNAcentral describes it as "partial 16S ribosomal RNA". It matches the Rfam family "Bacterial small subunit ribosomal RNA", at positions 338 to 795 of the family's 1533-position model. The record is from RNAcentral.